GUUCUGGUGGCAUAGUGUUUAAGAGUUUGGCUGCUAACCAAAAGGUCGGUAGUUCAAAUCCGCCUUGGAAAC
RNAcentral lists this transfer RNA (72 nucleotides) under Loxodonta africana (African savanna elephant). It matches the Rfam family "tRNA". From Rfam's summary of the family: Transfer RNA (tRNA) molecules are approximately 80 nucleotides in length. Their secondary structure includes four short double-helical elements and three loops (D, anti-codon, and T loops). Further hydrogen bonds mediate the characteristic L-shaped molecular structure. tRNAs have two regions of fundamental functional importance: the anti-codon, which is responsible for specific mRNA codon recognition, and the 3' end, to which the tRNAs corresponding amino acid is attached (by aminoacyl-tRNA synthetases). tRNAs cope with the degeneracy of the genetic code in two manners: having more than one tRNA (with a specific anti-codon) for a particular amino acid; and 'wobble' base-pairing, i.e. permitting non-standard base-pairing at the 3rd anti-codon position. Lineage: Eukaryota; Metazoa; Chordata; Mammalia; Proboscidea; Elephantidae. The record is from Rfam by way of RNAcentral.